RNAcentral lists this unclassified non-coding RNA (222 nucleotides) under uncultured Mycena. RNAcentral's name for it is "sequence contains ITS1". The record is from RNAcentral. Lineage: Eukaryota; Fungi; Basidiomycota; Agaricomycetes; Agaricales; Tricholomataceae.
UUGAAUAACUUGGUGUUGAGCUGGCCCUAUUGGGCAUGUGCUCGCAUCAUAUUAUUUAUCUAUCUCUUGUGCACCUUUUGUAGUCUUUGGAGCGCUCGCAGUCAAUGCGGUUUUGGGACUUGGGCUUUGCCCUUUUCCCUGUUUGCUUCAAAGGCUAUGUUUUAUACACACUAUUGAAGUUACAGAAUGUCUCUUAUUGACUUUUGAGUCAGUAAAUCUAUA